CGCGUAGGCGGAUGGCACAGUCAGAUGUGAAAUUCCCGGGCUUAACCUGGGGGCUGCAUUUGAUACGUGUUGUCUAGAGUGAGGAAGAGGGUCGUGGAAUUCCCAGUGUAGAGGUGAAAUUCGUAGAUAUUGGGAAGAACACCGGUGGCGAAGGCGGCGACCUGGUCCUUGACUGACGCUGAGGCGCGAAAGCGUGGGGAGCAAACA
This 207-nucleotide ribosomal RNA is filed under the name uncultured bacterium. Its description in RNAcentral is "partial 16S ribosomal RNA". It matches the Rfam family "Bacterial small subunit ribosomal RNA", at positions 568 to 774 of the family's 1533-position model. The record is from RNAcentral.